Molecule: long non-coding RNA, 549 nt
Filed under: Monodelphis domestica (gray short-tailed opossum)
Lineage: Eukaryota; Metazoa; Chordata; Mammalia; Didelphimorphia; Didelphidae
Description: lncRNA (ENSMODG00000051199.1)
Source: RNAcentral
CUUUCAGAUUGGCUAAUAUUGCCAAAAAGGAAAAUGAUAAAUGUUAGAGGGGAUGUAGGAAAAUUGGGACAAUAAUACACUAUUGGAAAUGUGAACUGAUAUAACCACUUUUGAGUGUAAUCUGGAACCACUCCCAAAGGGCCAUGAUACUAUGCACAACUAUUUGUGAAUUUUAAAAAGUCUCCAUCUUGGUCUAGCACCCAAAAUUGUGCACACCCACACUACACGGGCAUGUGCUAGUCAAUGACAAAUCAGAAAUAACUAACUGCCCACCUGGGCUGUCCUAAGCCAAGCUAGAGCCAACCAUUGGAUUUUGUGAGACACAGGAAGUGAGGUAGGGAGCAGCCUCUGGAAUUCGCUCACUUCCUGUGGGGAGAGGGAGAUGCCAGUUGGUGUUAGGAGGAGUUGGUGUUAGGAGCUUGGACAGAGAGGACGCCCGCAGACAGCUUUCCUUCAGAUGGGUCACGUAUUUCUAAAUCAUGUUGCUUACAAUGUCAGAAGAGACGAUUGUAUGGAAUUGAAGAAAGAUUAAUGUCGAGUGACAGCUAG